GGCGUGCCUAAUACAUGCAAGUCGAGCGAGAAUCUUAGAUUUGAAUCUUCGGAGGAAAAUGUAAGAGGAAAGCGGCGGACGGGUGAGUAACGCGUAGGCAACCUGCCCUUAGCAGAGGGAUAGCCAUUGGAAACGAUGAUUAAAACCUCAUAAAACUGUGAUAACACAUGUUAAUGCAGUCAAAGAUUUAUCGGCUAAGGAUGGGCCUGCGUCUGAUUAACUAGUUGGUGAGGUAACGGCUCACCAAGGUGACGAUCAGUAGCCGGACUGAGAGGUUGAACGGCCACAUUGGGACUGAGAUACGGCCCAGACUCCUACGGGAGGCAGCAGUGGGGAAUAUUGGGCAAUGGGCGAAAGCCUGACCCAGCAACGCCGCGUGAAGGAAGAAGGUCUUCGGAUUGUAAACUUCUUUUAUGAGGGACGAAGGACGUGACGGUACCUCAUGAAUAAGCCACGGCUAACUACGUGCCAGCAGCCGCGGUAAUACGUAGGUGGCGAGCGUUAUCCGGAUUUACUGGGUGUAAAGGGCGCGUAGGCGGGGAAGCAAGUCAGGUGUGAAAUCUAUGGGCUUAACCCAUAAACUUGCACUUGAAACUGUUUUUCUUGAGUGCUGGAGAGGUAGACGGAAUUCCUUGUGUAGCGGUGAAAUGCGUAGAUAUAAGGAAGAACACCAGUGGCGAAGGCGGUCUACUGGACAGUAACUGACGCUGAGGCGCGAAAGCGUGGGGAGCAAACAGGAUUAGAUACCCUGGUAGUCCACGCUGUAAACGAUGAAUACUAGGUGUGGGGGGACUGACCCCCUCCGUGCCGCAGUUAACACAAUAAGUAUUCCACCUGGGGAGUACGGCCGCAAGGUUGAAACUCAAAGGAAUUGACGGGGGCCCGCACAAGCAGUGGAGCAUGUGGUUUAAUUCGAAGCAACGCGAAGAACCUUACCAGACCUUGACAUCCCUCUGAAUACAGCGUAAUGGCUGUAGGCCUUCGGGACAGAGGAGACAGGUGGUGCAUGGUUGUCGUCAGCUCGUGUCGUGAGAUGUUGGGUCAAGUCCCGCAACGAGCGCAACCCUUGUCCAUAGUAGCCAGCAGUAAGAUGGGCACUCUAGGGAGACUGCCAGGGAUAACCUGGAGGAAGGUGGGGAUGACGUCAAAUCAUCAUGCCCCUUAUGACUUGGGCUACACACGUGCUACAAUGGCGUAAACAAAGUGAAGCGAAGUCGUGAGGCCAAGCAAAUCACAAAAAUAACGUCUCAGUUCGGAUUGUAGUCUGCAACUCGACUACAUGAAGCUGGAAUCGCUAGUAAUCGCAGAUCAGAAUGCUGCGGUGAAUACGUUCCCGGGUCUUG
This 1343-nucleotide ribosomal RNA is filed under the name uncultured bacterium. RNAcentral's name for it is "partial 16S ribosomal RNA". It matches the Rfam family "Bacterial small subunit ribosomal RNA", at positions 41 to 1383 of the family's 1533-position model. The record is from RNAcentral.